UAGCCACUGGUGCUGAUGCCAGUGGACUCCAGAACACUGGAGGAGCUUUGGCCCAAUUAGGAAGUCAGCUGGAGCCUCCCGGAGCAGGCAGCCGCGUUACCUGCUGUCUGAUGUUUUGCCAGUACGCCUCAGUGCAAUCAUUCCGCGGCACUGGGAUGAUGUUUCAAUUUCGCCCGCUGCUCAGUCAGGACUCUUAAGAGCCUCAUUGUCCCGGAGUGGGCUUCCUGCCUGUUACCUCGCUCCUCCUGCCUCUCCUCUCUUGGACACAGCUGUGACGUUGCUCACCGGCCAAGUGAGUUGUCAGUGUCCCUGGGCUGUGGGUUGGCAGGUUUCCACUUUCAGAGGAGCACUGGCCAGCUAGCGGGGGAGGAUCGCAGGCUCUAGAAAUGCCAGUCUUGUUAUUUAGACUUCCAGAGUUCUCUGUGUCGAGGGUGGCCGGCCUUCCACAGUUGUUGCUAUUAGAGAACGUUAGAGCUUAGAAACUUGUUUAGAACAUGUGGACAAGCAGUUAAGAAAAAAAAAAAAAA
Molecule: long non-coding RNA, 527 nt
Filed under: Rattus norvegicus (Norway rat)
Lineage: Eukaryota; Metazoa; Chordata; Mammalia; Rodentia; Muridae
Description: long non-coding RNA NONRATT011973
Source: RNAcentral